UGGUAACAGCUGCCCGACCAGCACAAACCCCAGGACUGCUCGUUUUCUCCCAGGCCGCUCAUCCCAGAAUCCGCUCUCCUUGCCGCUUGGUCGUACGAAGCUCCGACCGCCACCCAGCCGGAAAACUCAACCUCCCAUUCUCAGGACGGCAGAUGGAGCUUUCAGGAGCGUCUCUAAGACGUGUUGAGGAACGAGGGAUCAGUCUGAGGUUGGGUGGAGCGGUUGGUACAUGCCUGACCUGACAUGCAGAGGAAGACUAAUGUUGACAUCCGACCUCAAUGAAACAUAAGGAGUCUGCUGAAAAGAACUUCACUGGAAGCAAGAUGGAGGCAGGAUGAAUAAAUGAUCAACGUUCUCAGCAGCAGCCUGUUCCGAACAAGCGUAGAAGCUCAGUAAACCAGCAGGCUGGUCAGCGUACACACCAAUGGUGGCGUGAUGGGGAAUCCCGUUGAUCUCUUCCUUCUGGCCCUGGUGCCAGACUUGGUAGCCGGAGCCGCUCCACUCCAGGCCCC
Long non-coding RNA from Gambusia affinis (western mosquitofish), 512 nucleotides. RefSeq lists it as uncharacterized. NCBI's taxonomy places the organism in Eukaryota, Metazoa, Chordata, Actinopteri, Cyprinodontiformes, Poeciliidae. The record is from RefSeq and is a predicted model, not a curated record. The transcript has 3 exons.